Triticum aestivum (bread wheat) is the source of this 120-nucleotide non-coding RNA. Lineage: Eukaryota; Viridiplantae; Streptophyta; Magnoliopsida; Poales; Poaceae. The record is from Rfam.
UAUAUACUCCCUCCGUCCGGAAUUACUUGUCGCAAAAAUGAAAUGGAUGUAUCUAGAACUAAAAUACGUCUAGAUACAUCCAUUUCUCUGACAAGUAAUUCCGGACGGAGGGAGUAUAUG